Long non-coding RNA from Peromyscus leucopus (white-footed mouse), 3373 nucleotides. RefSeq lists it as uncharacterized. The record is from RefSeq and is a predicted model, not a curated record. The transcript has 3 exons. NCBI's taxonomy places the organism in Eukaryota, Metazoa, Chordata, Mammalia, Rodentia, Cricetidae.
GACAAUAUAAAAAGGAGAAACAGAUAAGAAUAAGCAUUCGUCUCCUUUAUUUUUUGACUGCUGAUGUGUGUCCAGCUGCCUUACUCUUCUGCUACCAGGACUUCCCUGCUGUGAUGGACUGUACCCUCAAACUCCGUUGUGUCCUCUCUCAGUGCCUAUGGGAACCACACUGGAAGAAGCUGGAGGGAAUGAGGGGAGAUGGCCACUCUGUGGGUAAGCAGCCAGUCCAUGCAGUCCACAGUCCACUGCUACCCCCAGCUCUGCCAGCGACACCAUCGGUAAACCUUGCCUCAUUCGAAACCGCAGCCUUUGCGCUGUUCAAGGGGGAGUUGGCUAGCUGGCCCUUGCCUGUUUCUGUCCUUGCCACCUUCUCCCUUCCAGAAACCUGCUCCGCUUUGCUUUCUCUUGACCCACAAAAGACAUCACUUCCUGGAAGACUUGGCUGGCGUUAAGCCUCCUGGCGGCUCCUUCCUGGGGCAGAGGGCCAAAAUCCUGACAAGAUUAAGAUGAGGUUUUGGAAUUGGGCCAAACUGGAAAAACAGGAAAGAUGACGAACCAAGCUGCCUCCUUCUGGGGAUUGUUUAUUCCAGUGCUCCCUCAAUUGAGUUCUGUGGGCACUCGCAACCCUUGACAUUUUACCCAGUGCACGCCUCUGGCCUUUUCCUGCCCCCUCCCCCCGCACAUCGCUAGUUAUUGAGACUGUUGGGUGGAUUCACUCCUAGAACUACUUAGCUAACUACACCCAGUCCUAGAAAUCAGGAAGCACACAGAUAUAUCCUGAGUGAGUGUCUACCAUGUUUGAUAGGAGAAGCCAUCUUCUAAAAUGAGCCCCCUGCAACUUCUCAGGGUAAGGAAUGUUCUUCUUUGUUAAAAAAGGAGGAUCAGGGGGACCCCCCAAGGUCCCCAUCAUAUUAGUGUGGCAUCCAGAAAUGAGGAGGGUUGGAAGGAAGAAAGGUGACCUAUCAACUCAGAGCACAGUGUUUCCGGGUCGAUGAGGGUUUCUGCUGUGAUUUCUGACUCUACCACUUACCGCCCCAGGAAUGUGGGCGAGCUCUUAAUAGGAAGCAGUGUAGGGGAGCAUUUUAGAGCACAGGCCCCAGCGUCAAAUGUCAGUUCUGCCAUCUGCUAGUUAUGUGACCUUGGGCAAUUUCCUUUGCCUCUCUGCACUUUGGUUUCCACAGCUAUAAAGCAGUGUAAUAAUAGCGCCUACCUCAUCAACUUGUUGCAAGGAUUAAACGUGAUAAUCCAGGAGGAGCACUUAGCACGCUGUCUGGCUCAUGGUCCUGUGUCAUCCAUGUCAGCUAUGGGGUGAAUGUGGGCCUAGCCGACUCUGGACACCACCUGUUUCCCCGCCUGUCACCCUGGUGGCUCGCUCAGCACUUGGCACACGGUAUACUCACUGCCUUUCUUGGCCACUGAAGGAGUGGUUAGAAGUUGACUCUGUUGCUGAAAACAGGCUUCAGGCGAAUGUGUAGGAGUAGAUUAUGGAGGAGGAGGAUUUUCAAGAGUUUCCCAACCAACAAACAAGUAAUUGCUUUUUGCAUGCUAGUAUAAACUUGAAAAUAUUUCCAGAUGGGAAAUACCCAUUGGAUCCAUAUGCCACACCCGUUUCUGAUUGUAGCCUAUUCAAGCAGAAACACACCUGAAUUCAUACCUAUAGAAGCAAACUGUAUUCACUGAGCUAUUUACACAGUACACAAACCUCAAAGCAGUUUAAAGUCUUAAGUAACCCCAAUUCAGAAGGGUUGCUGAUUGCUUAUCUGAUUCAUGCCCUGCUAAACAUUUCCUAGGCCUCUGUCUCUCACUGUUUAGCUCACUGUGUGUUUGAGACUUCAGGUUCACUAACCGUCUGUACCUUAGGGUAGGCCCCUGUGGGACAGAACACAGAAUUCACAGAACGCGUAAGCAGCAGUUAAAAUUUCACAGUAUGGAUGACUCAUCCGUUCAACACACACUUAGCAUUUGGGGCUUGGGAAACUGGAAAUGACGAACCAAAGUACUACCUGGAUUCUGAGUGAGAUCUGAGACUGAAUCAGCAAAAGACCUUUCUUGCAGAAUGGUUCUAUACCUGUUCACCAAGCCUCCGUGAGAGGACAGGGUGAGUAAUAUGGCCUUAAUUACCAAGAAAUUAGUGUUUUUGCUGCUUAAUUCCUUAUAUGUAGGAGACAGAACAGGAGCCAGACAGGCUGGUUUCUAUGGCUGUGGGGCCAGUCACUUCCCUUUCUUGAUCCUCAGGUUCCUCAUUUGAAGAGUGGAGAGAAUCUUCUUGCUUUAAAAGGCACAUUUUCUCUAUUCAUUCAUAGAAGAUAGUAUUUCCAUAGGGAUGUGUUGCUCUGUGUUGUGGCUCUCUAGGAGAAAAAAAAAAGAAUUGGGGUCAUUUGGUAGAUUAUAUUAUUGCUCAGCAAAUAUUUACUUCACCUAACCCUCCCCACUUCGAGAGGAGUAUACUUCCUCACCCUGUUGAUACUGGACCUAGUCAUGUGACUUGCUUGGGCCAAAAGAAUAUGUGUGGAAGUGGCAGCAGCUAGCUCCUCCAAGUCACUGAGUGUUUCCCUUUCCACCUCUUGAGCAAUUGUCCUUGGCCAUGAGAACACCAGGCAUCAGGGAGUCCUUCAGCUGGACAUACGAUGAACAGACAUGUGAGGCAACUGCGCAUGACCCAAAGCUUGGAGCCCAGCCUGACCCAGCUGACCCACAGACCCCUGGGCUGAGUGUCAAGUGUUGGGGUCUCAGCAGAUACAACAUUCAGUCGGGGCUGCAGCCUGAAGAGCAGAUGGCAUGCCCUGCUGGCCCCAGCUUAUCCAGGCCUCUCCCCAAGAGGAUAUUGAGGUGGGUCAAGCUGACUUCUCGGUUUCAGGCCGAGACCCUUUCUCAGGCUCCUCCGCUGCUCUAAGGGACAGAAUGAUGGGGGAGGUGCCGAGAACCAGAAGUGAAACUUCAGGACAGCCUGGUGAACUCACAUGCACUGUCAUCUCUGAAGCCUGAGAGAAUGCAAGCUCAACUGCUCCAGGAACACUACAGGGCUCUGGGCACAGCACAGCGGCCUCCUGCACUUGCUGUGCGCAGCUGGGCACCAAGACCACCCACUGAUCUUUUCUGCUUCCGCCCAUCCCCCACGUGGAGCAGGUGGCCAGGAAGUCAGGCUAGUUUCGCUCAGGGAGUGUCAGCAACUGUGCGUUGAGCCCGCAGAUGAAUCUCAUUCACUUGGUUGUGGCCCCACCAGGCAGCUUGGCUGUCACAUGUCCCGAGGCAAACUGCUGUCCUCUCUGGGUUUUCCCUUAGUCACCUAUCAGGAGAGGGCAGGGAUGCCUUUGUAGGGUUGUUCUGGUGAGUCAUCUCCUUCCCUCGACCUCCAUCAGGGCUUUUGCCUCUC